AACGAACGCUGGCGGCAUGCCUAACACAUGCAAGUCGAACGAGACCUUCGGGUCUAGUGGCGCACGGGUGCGUAACGCGUGGGAACCUGCCCUUAGGUUCGGAAUAACUCCCCGAAAGGGGUGCUAAUACCGGAUAAUGUCUUCGGACCAAAGAUUUAUUGCCUUUGGAUGGGCCCGCGUUGGAUUCGCUAGUUGGUAGGGUAAAAGCCUACCAAGGCGACGAUCCAUAGCUGGUCUGAGAGGAUGAUCAGCCACACUGGGACUGAGACACGGCCCAGACUCCUACGGGAGGCAGCAGUGGGGAAUAUUGGACAAUGGGCGAAAGCCUGAUCCAGCAAUGCCGCGUGAGUGAUGAAGGCCUUAGGGUUGUAAAGCUCUUUUACCCGGGAUGAUAAUGACAGUACCGGGAGAAUAAGCUCCGGCUAACUCCGUG
Molecule: ribosomal RNA, 433 nt
Filed under: uncultured bacterium
Lineage: Bacteria
Description: partial 16S ribosomal RNA
Rfam family: Bacterial small subunit ribosomal RNA
Source: RNAcentral